This 95-nucleotide microRNA precursor is filed under the name Erinaceus europaeus (western European hedgehog). RNAcentral's name for it is "miRNA (ENSEEUG00000022501.1)". Lineage: Eukaryota; Metazoa; Chordata; Mammalia; Eulipotyphla; Erinaceidae. The record is from RNAcentral.
AUCACCUGGGAAUUUUGUUAAAAGUUCAGAUUUGGUUUUAUUAGAUCAGGGUAGAGGUAAAGAUUCUGCAUUUCUAACAAGCUUUUAGGUGAUGC